Molecule: long non-coding RNA, 1397 nt
Organism: Cataglyphis hispanica
Lineage: Eukaryota; Metazoa; Arthropoda; Insecta; Hymenoptera; Formicidae
Exons: 3
Source: RefSeq, a predicted model, not a curated record
ACGAGAUCUCAAUCGCGUAUACGGAAUAACGACGCGGACUCAUAAGCACGGCAACCGGACGAGCAACAUGUGCGUAAGUACGUACAUAUGUGCGUUUCUCUCGCACGAUGGAAAUCAAGCGUAACCCCCUGCUGCUGCUGUCUGCAUAACAAUUGCCUGUAAUGGAGCUAUUUUCCAGCGGUCAUCCGAGAUUUGUGGUUUAUCGUGACACGAUCUUGGCUACCGAAACGUCCAGAUAUUAUCGUUUUUCCAUGGGUCUCUCAUAAGUUUCUGUCACGUCGCUCCAGGGAUUAAAAUACUAAUGACAAUCGAUGAUAUUAGCAGUGAGAAGGGUGGAGAAGGCGAUUCGUCUGGGAUCGAGAUGAAAGCGCAUUUCUAAAAAUGCACUUUCGACCGAGGAAUGCGAACGAUGAAGUUAAGGAAACAGAAAUAUGAAGAGCGAAACUCGCGCGAAAGAGCGUCGCGUAACUAAAAGAUUUCUGCAAGGACCACGGACGCAUGAGGGGAAUGGAAAGAAGGAAUCAACGGUGGAAGGUGGAUCGACACGGGAGGAGGACCGUUUCGGAGGUGGACGAGAUGGGAGGCUGUCUCCUCCUGCGGUUAGAGUCCCGGCGACGGUGGGACAAAAAUUAUCUUCCCCGACAAGAGCGGGCAACCGCGCUUCCAGGAAAAGGCGAUCCUUGUGUUGGUCAUCCCGCAGCACGCAUUAGCGUCGUCGUUCGGCCGGUUUUGUUUUUCCAAGUUUUAUAUUUCUCUUCGUCUCCGAGAUUCUCUCUUCCUUUUUCUCCCCCUUCCUCUCGCGCGUCUUCUCUUUUUCCUCGUCUCCUCACAUUUCACGUCGUCGCCACGGGCCACCGGAUUGUCGGCGCCAAUUAAGCCCGGUUCCUUGACUCCUUCGAGACGAGUCGUCUCAUAACCGACAGCAUUGUUGUUUCACGGUAGCCGAAGAAUUUUGCCAGCGGGAUUUUUUGAUCGGAUGCGAAACACCGAACACACUAUCGAUAUAAAAAAAAUAUCGAAGAUAUUUCUCAUAGUAUCUAUAUAUUUGUAAAUAUUUUAAUUUGCGUUUCAUCUCAAUAGCUGAAUCUCUUUAUAAAUCGUCAAAACAGAUAAUCAAGUUUUAAUACAUAAAAUCGAUUAUUAGACAUUUCCAUUAACAGUUGAUUCCUUGUUAUAUGAUGCAAUCGUCAACGUUAAUUAGAGCCAAUCGAUUAGUCGAAAGCGUUGUAAUGCCCGCAUUAUCUCGUAGGGACGUUAGGAUAAAAUACGACCGAUGCAGCUCAUCGUUAAGUAACGACGGAGAUAGGCGUGGCGCCGAUCAGAAAAUUGAAGGGUGCAGCUUGAGAUGACCGGGGGUGGCCGCCCUUCUCUGCACUUUGCGUCGCUGUCACUCCGAG